RNAcentral lists this unclassified non-coding RNA (252 nucleotides) under Zea mays. RNAcentral describes it as "misc RNA Zm00001eb192870". The record is from RNAcentral. Lineage: Eukaryota; Viridiplantae; Streptophyta; Magnoliopsida; Poales; Poaceae.
UUGUAUGAGAGGUGCUUUACAUAUUUAAUGUGUGAAUUUCAUGUCUAUGCAGGACCUGUCCCUGAUCAACUUCAAAAGCGCUUAGGAAGACGUUUUCAGCUGAAAAGAAGAAAAGUAAAAUCCGGAAGGCAUGGGAUGGAACUAAAGUCAUUUAUAAUGUUGCUUCAUGGGGCACCACUGCUGUUGGGGUCUACAAUAAUCGAGCAUUACUUACGAUCGCAACUACAACGUUUCAGACUUCCUGCCGUGUGA